CAUUAAUUCAUUACAGCAAUGUGUCCUGAUUCUAUUUUCUGAGCCAGGCACUGUGUGUGGACCCCCGACGGGAGGAAAGGGAAGCCGCGUGCCUUGCCGAGGAAACGUCACCAGCAGUGGAGAUGCGGACCACGCCCUCAUGCUGAACAUUGCACUGGAGACGGCUGGAGGUGAGACCACGCUCCCCGCCACCCCACCCCCGGGAGGAGAGCAGAUGCCUGGCCCAGGAUCAAAGAGAAAGGUCUGCAAUGUGAAUUCAUUUUUUCUGAGUUGUAAGUUUGGAUCAUUUGUAAAUGUGUAUCCCGCUCAGGAUGGAGCUAACCUGAACUCUGUAAUUUGCAGGGGAGGCUCGCUGCCCCUUGGAUGGGCAGUGAGCUCUGGGUUCCAGAGGCCAGGCUGCGGCUGCCCCCUGGGAUGGCACCCCUGCUCAGAGCAGGGUGGACGUGGGCCUCCUAGGCUGACCUCCCAGCGGACCAGGAAUCUGCCUGGAGAUCAUCAGGAUCGACACCUGCCUUAGAACGCACCUUAGUACCCUGUCAUCUGAACACACCCGGGCUGCUUUAACCCCCUCACUGCUGUCACGGGAGCCCCAGGUCCUUCCCCCUCGGGGACGGGACAAGGCGUGCGGGGCAGGUUGCCCUGGGCUCCUGGGUUGCCUGGGUCUGCUUUCCUCUCACUGAGAAGGCCUCUCACUCUGCUCCCGAGGACUGAGGCUGUCUGCCCUGCGCCGGGUGAGUGCACUGACUGCGUCACGCCACAAGCACACGUCUGGGGAGGGGGGGGCUUCCUCCAGGGCUCCCACUGACUCUGCCCUGCCCUCCAGGGGCCAACACCAGGUUGCCCCAGAAUCUAUGAGUAGGGGGUGGCAGCAUCCCAGGGUUGAAUGUACUGGUGAUGGGUCUGGGGUCCAUAAUUAUGGCUUGGAAACCGUUGAUUGCGUCUUUUGUGGCCUUGUCCUUGCCAGAGGGAAAUGGGCCCAGUCCCAGAACAGAAGGAGUUGGCUUGUUCAAAUCAGUGUCCAAAUUCUUUUCCUGCACUUUCAUGGGUGCACUGGGAUGAUGGCAGAUGAGAGGACUCUGAGAGGUUGGUGACUUGUCCAAGAUCAGCUAGGAAGCAAGACCCAGGACUGCAAUCCAGGGCUGCUGUGAGGAUCAAACAAGAUAAUGUAUGCUAAGGCGUGCUGCGAACACUACGUGCUGGGUGCAGGAGAACGGAGGCCCUAGAGUGGGUCUCAUGACACUGUGUUGAUGAAGACCUUGGCCGUGACCUCUGUGGGAAAUGAGCCAUGGACCAACCAACAUUCAGUCUGAUUUCUUCGUUUUCCCCUGAGGAAGACCUUGGCUGUCCCUUCUGUGGGUAAGGAGCAAAGUGACUCAUGUUAAUUAUUCAAAAGAAGGCUGAGCGAAGGCCAGUGAGGAAUAUGUGUCAUGAACCAAAGAUAAUGAUUGCUCCUUCUAUACCCAAAUGUUGUCCAGAUAAAAAAAAUAGAACUCGCAGCUCCUUCCACUUUGGGUAAAGUACACAUAGAAAUUUCUUCUUUAAGUUUUAAUUUAUGUUCCGAUUGGUUAAUGUAUAGUGUGUUAUUACUAGGUUCAGGUGUACAUGGAAAUUUGCAUGGGGAAAGUCUUUAGAAAAAUGGGUACAUAAUUGAUUUAUUUUAUGCCUAAUUAUAUACAUGAAUAAAUAAAUGAAUCUGUAGACAUCAAUCAGAAAAAUUUGUGCUUCAUUGGUGGGAAUAUGCAAUAAAAUAAAGAUUUACAUUUACCCAGUUUUGUACAACUGAGGUCCAUUAAAAGCAACCACUGAGUUGUUAAAUUGAUGAAUAGGGAGUAUGGAGAUGGAUAUUUAUGGUAGAUAAUGGUUCAUAUUCUCAUGCUGGUGUUAAUUGUGUUGUUGAAAAAGAAAAAUUAAGUAAGUCAAUAAAUAAGAGUGAUUCAUGGACAAUGAUAACAUUCUAAAAUGACCCACAUUCAUGAUUGACCUGAUAUUGUAACACUGAUCUUUGCUUAAAAAAAAAAAAAAUCUAACUGUAGGCUUUUUCUCUUUUUGGGAGUCUGCAUUUUCACCAAGUGAGCACACCACAGAUGAUUUAAUCAUUCUCGAAUGCUAAAGAUCUUGGCUUUCACAAACCGUGUGGGUAAGGAAAGAAGAAAUUGAUAAUAACCGUAAGACAGCAGACUUACACAUUUUCUAAGAAACAACAUCUUGGCAGUUAGCUCUGUGUGUAAAGACUGUAGACAGAAAUAAUGAACACAAAGCCGAUUUUAUCAUUCUCUAAUCCGGAAGACCUGGCUGAUAAUUCUGGGACUAAGAAGCGUAAAAACUUAUACAUAGUGAACAACAGCAUGGCUGACUCAGUCAUUCGCCGGAGUCAUUACAGUCGACCAGGAGGUGAAGCCUGAGAGAACCGUCGUCCAAUGAGGAAGAUCUUGACUGUUACUUUUGUGGAAUGAAGAUGAUGGUUGAUUUAAUCAGUCUCUGCUGAUGAAGAUCUUGGCUGUUACCUUUGUGGAAUGGAUGGAUGAUGAAUCAAUGACGGAGUGUAGAAACUUAUAAUGGAUGCUUCCGGCCAGCCUAAGCAUCUCCAUGGUCUUGAGCUGUCUGGUUGCCUAGGAGCAUAGGCAUCAGUAAUGGAUGCACUCGAGCUGAUUCCCUGUGGUUGGCUUUAUUGUUAGGAUCACAGACACAGAUAGUGGCCACACCAAGCUGAUGAAAGCAUGUUCCAUGAUUAGAGCUCUAUAUGUAGGAGAUGGAGAUCGGUAAUGGAUGCACUACAGCUGAUUUCAGGGUUCUUCCAUGGUCACAAGACAUCUGCUUACUCCAUGUGUUUGGUGCAUAGAAGGAAUGCACACACCCAAGAUGGUUUAAGUAGUAUCCCUUGGCCAGUGAUCUCUACAUUUGCCUGUAGGAACAUGGAAACCAAUCGCGCUCAAGCGUCGUCCGAGGUCACGCGCUCCGUUGUUGCCUCUCUGUGGAGUGAGCACAGAGACCGAUGAUGGAUACGCCUGAACUGCCGUAGGCGUUUGGCUGUGAUCAGGUGCUCGCGGGUGCCCGUGUGUGUAGGAGCACGGAGACCACCAAGGACAUCCUCAGGCUGGUUGAAGUAUUCUUUCUUGGUCACAAUCUCUCUGGUUGCAUCUGUGUUUCAGGUGUUAAGAGAGACCAGUAAAAUGAAGAAAAAGGGCUGAAAUACGGACCGAUGAUGACGGCUGGUGGCGUAGGAGUCACGGAUGAUGAAUGCUACGUGUCUGGAACUCUGAGGUCCAAUGCGAAAGGAAAUAUAAAGAAGACACCUGACCCAGUGUAAGCGUCCCCCAGCUUCAGUCACUGCCAGCAAGCCUCUCUCUGUGGGAGCAUGGAGUCCAACAAUCAACGCACUCCCGCUGAUGUAAGCAUUUUCCAUGGUCAGGAGGUCUGUGAUUUCCCGUGUGUUCUAAGCCUAGAGAUGAAUAACGGAUGAACUCCAGCAGCUGGAAGCCCUUGCAUGAUUACAAGCUGUCUGUCUGUCUGUUUGGAGCAUAGAGACCAGUCAUUCUUCCGUGGUCGCAAGAUCUGUGGCUGUGUCUGUGUGUUGGAGAAUGGAGAUCCAUGUGACUAAUGAAUGGACGCGCUUGUCCUGAUGGAAGCAUCUUCCAUGGUCAUGAACUCUGGGCCUGCAUCGAUGCACUGGGAACUAGACACCACCAGCCACCGGCGCGCUGGAGCUCCUGAACGCAUCCGCACGUGUCACGGUUCUGUGCGCGCUUCUGCGUCGUGGGAGCGUGGCGAGCAGUGCAGUUAAUUACAAUAAACAGACGCAGAUGACAGUAGAAAAAAAGAGCCAGUCCCGGACCAGCGAUGGCAGCUGAGAAAGGACCUGGCUAGCAGAUGUCAGGAUUCUUCCUUGGUCACGGGAUCUCGGGUUGCGUUCAUGUGUCAGGGACACGGAGACCAUAACGGUCACCAUCAGCUGAUGGAAGCAUCUACCCUAGCCGCUUCGUGGUCGAAUCUGUGGGUGAUAGCGUGGACCCCAGUGCGAAACAGACACUUGAGCUGUUUUCAGCUUCCGCCGUGAUCAAGACUGUGAUGUUCCCUGUGAGCACUGAAAGAGAUGGAGGCGAGGGCUGGUCAAAAUGGUCGUCUUGGAAAGGGCCACUUGCUUCAGGCAUGAGUACGCACGAGAUGAUUCGGUGACUUCCCUGGGCGCGAGGUCUGUGGUUGCUUCUGUAUAACAGGACGGAGAUUCCUAAAGACAGUGGACCUGAUUUAAGGAUUUCUCCCUUGAUCCUGACCUCUGCGUUGGCAUCUGUUUUAGGAGACUGGAGACCCGUAAUAGAAGGUCAAGGUGAUUUCUGCCUUCCUUUUGGUCUAGGGCACCAUGUUUCCUCUUAUAGGAAAGAGACUAACAAUGGACAGAUGCGAGCUAAACAAGCAUUAUUCCAAGGUGGCGAGCUCUACGAUAGCUUCGGUGUGACAGAGGCACAGGGUCCCAUUAGAGAUGCUCCAGCUGAUUUCACCUCUACUCUGAUCGUGGUCGUUAUGUUGCCUGCGCCUUAGGAGACUAAAGCAAGCUGAUGGAAGCAAUCCUGCCUGGUGGCGAGCUCGGUGGUCGCCUCCCUCUGUUCGACGUGCAGAGAACAGCAAUGGACACACCUGAGCAGAUGUAACGCCUUCCAUGAUCCUGAGUUCUGUGCUUGCCUCUGUAAUAGAAGGAUGGGGAUUAAUGACGGACAGAUUAGACCUGCGUGAGGAUUCUCCCCGAUCAAGGGCCCUCGGGUUGUAUUUUUGUACUGGGGCGACAGGAGACGGAUAAUGGACACACUCUGGCAGACGGUAGCAUUCGUCCAAGGUCACCAGCCCUCUGCUUGCAUCUACGUUGGAGGAGCAUGGAGACCAUGUGCUCGAGCUGAUUCCGUCUUCCGUUGGGAAGUAGGCUUGUCACGUGACCAAUGCAACAAGGAGAGUAAUGGUCAAAAAUUUUGUUUUUGUUUGGGUCAUUUGUGUGUGUUUGUGGUAUUAUUAGAAAGUAGUAAGUAUCAUGAAAAUGUUCACUAUGGCUGACGAAUAAAUAUGAUGUAAACCAUUGUAUUCAUUAAUUUCUUACAUAACAUUGAGUUUAAUUAAUAAAAGAAAUGGAAGCUGUGUUGGCAAUGAUUCUAUAUUAGACGUUAAGGGCAUUCAGGCAUCUUAUUCUUGGGUUUUUGUAAAUUAUACUCAUGUUAAUCUUUUCAGUGAAUUAAUUAUUUAAUCAAAACAAGUGUAGAAAGGAGUUGAGAGCAAGGGAUCCUCUAUUGGACCAGUGAUGAUGACAGGUGACGGCUGAUCCAUGGAUGAUGGGCAGUGCGCAUCUGGGUAUCUGAGGUCCAAUGUGAUAA
Molecule: long non-coding RNA, 5354 nt
Organism: Mustela erminea (ermine)
Lineage: Eukaryota; Metazoa; Chordata; Mammalia; Carnivora; Mustelidae
Exons: 45
Source: RefSeq, a predicted model, not a curated record